Molecule: ribosomal RNA, 750 nt
Filed under: uncultured bacterium
Lineage: Bacteria
Description: bacterial SSU rRNA
Rfam family: Bacterial small subunit ribosomal RNA
Source: RNAcentral
CAGGCCUAACACAUGCAAGUCGAGCGGACCAUUCCUUCGGGGAUGGUUAGCGGCGGACGGGUGAGUAACACGUAGGCAACCUGCCUGUAAGAUCGGGAUAACUACCGGAAACGGUAGCUAAGACCGGAUAGCUGGUUUCUCCGCAUGGGGGAAUCAUGAAACACGGGGCAACCUGUGGCUUACGGAUGGGCCUGCGGCGCAUUAGCUAGUUGGUGGGGUAACGGCCCACCAAGGCGACGAUGCGUAGCCGACCUGAGAGGGUGAUCGGCCACACUGGGACUGAGACACGGCCCAGACUCCUACGGGAGGCAGCAGUAGGGAAUCUUCCGCAAUGGGCGCAAGCCUGACGGAGCAACGCCGCGUGAGUGAUGAAGGUUUUCGGAUCGUAAAGCUCUGUUGCCAAGGAAGAACGCCUCGGAGAGUAACUGCUCUGAGGGUGACGGUACUUGAGAAGAAAGCCCCGGCUAACUACGUGCCAGCAGCCGCGGUAAUACGUAGGGGGCAUGCGUUGUCCGGAAUUAUUGGGCGUAAAGCGCGCGCAGGCGGUCUUUUAAGUUUGGUGUUUAAGCCCGGGGCUCAACCCCGGUUCGCACUGAAAACUGGGAGACUUGAGUGCAGGAGAGGAAAGCGGAAUUCCACGUGUAGCGGUGAAAUGCGUAGAGAUGUGGAGGAACACCAGUGGCGAAGGCGGCUUUCUGGACUGUAACUGACGCUGAGGCGCGAAAGCGUGGGGAGCAAACAGGAUUAGAU